Molecule: non-coding RNA, 113 nt
Organism: Mycena filopes
Lineage: Eukaryota; Fungi; Basidiomycota; Agaricomycetes; Agaricales; Mycenaceae
Source: the annotation of a GenBank genome assembly
GGUUCUAUGGUCUAGUUGGUUUAUGACUUCUGUCUAACAAGACCUUCAGAUUCCUUAAGGCAUCGGACGUAAUUGUGCACAGGCGGUCCCCGGUUCGAGCCCGGGUGGAAUCA